UUUUAUUCUUUAUUUACAAGAUGAAAUUGACUUUGGUCUAAAAAUGUGUUGUUUUAACAGAACAGCCUUCUGUGCACCAACUACACGUAACAGCCUGUAAAUAACAGCUCAGCUGCAGUCUAUUUGUGCACCUACAACAUCCCAACACCUGCUGAUGUCCCCACUCUCAGUGUGAAAGUCCACACAGAGGUGGAGCCCACAGUUAUCAAAGGACACACCAUCAACCACAGAGAUCAUCCAGGAGCUCCCAGUGGACGACCUGAAGCCAGCCGUGGUCCAGAUCUAUGACGACUACCAACCAGGUCCAAGUCUGACUAAGCUUUACUCCAACAGCUCACUGACACACUUCAGAGGAUCCAUCAGACUGAACAGUUCAUACAAGCUGA
Oreochromis aureus is the source of this 386-nucleotide long non-coding RNA. RefSeq lists it as uncharacterized. The record is from RefSeq and is a predicted model, not a curated record. The transcript has 3 exons. Lineage: Eukaryota; Metazoa; Chordata; Actinopteri; Cichliformes; Cichlidae.